RNAcentral lists this ribosomal RNA (228 nucleotides) under uncultured eukaryote. RNAcentral describes it as "partial 18S ribosomal RNA". It matches the Rfam family "Eukaryotic small subunit ribosomal RNA", at positions 629 to 868 of the family's 1831-position model. The record is from RNAcentral.
CGUAGUUGGAUUUCUGGUAUUUAACGUUGGUCCGGGUGUUCCUUAGGGAACCUUGAGUACCGACUGUUAACUACCAUCCUAGGAGUGUUGGUUUCGGCCAGUUCUCCUACUUUUACUUUGAAAAAAUUAGAGUGUUUAAAGCAAGCUUGCGCGAUGAAUACAUUAGCAUGGAAUAAUAAUAUAGGACUACGGGUUCUAUUUUAUUGGUUUCUAGACCUGAAGUAAUGA